UACGAAGGGGGCUAGCGUUGUUCGGAAUUACUGGGCGUAAAGCGUGCGCAGGCGGCUGCUCAAGUCAGGGGUGAAAGCCCAGAGCUCAACUCUGGAAUUGCCUUUGAGACUGAGUGGCUUGAGUACGGGAGAGGUGAGUGGAAUUCCCAGUGUAGAGGUGAAAUUCGUAGAUAUUGGGAAGAACACCGGUGGCGAAGGCGGCUCACUGGCCCGUAACUGACGCUCCAUGCACGACAGCGUGGGGAUCAAACAGG
Molecule: ribosomal RNA, 254 nt
Filed under: uncultured bacterium
Lineage: Bacteria
Description: partial 16S ribosomal RNA
Rfam family: Bacterial small subunit ribosomal RNA
Source: RNAcentral